This 253-nucleotide ribosomal RNA is filed under the name uncultured bacterium. RNAcentral's name for it is "partial 16S ribosomal RNA". It matches the Rfam family "Bacterial small subunit ribosomal RNA", at positions 524 to 776 of the family's 1533-position model. The record is from RNAcentral.
UACGUAGGGUGCAAGCGUUGUCCGGAAUUAUUGGGCGUAAAGAGCUCGUAGGCGGUUUGUCGCGUCUGCUGUGAAAACUCGAGGCUCAACCUCGGGCCUGCAGCCGAUACGGGCAGACUAGAGUGCGGUAGGGGAGACUGGAAUUCCUGGUGUAGCGGUGAAAUGCGCAGAUAUCAGGAGGAACACCGGUGGCGAAGGCGGGUCUCUGGGCCGAUACUGACGCUGAGGAGCGAAAGCGUGGGGAGCGAACAGG